GUCAGGGUUUUAUCAGAAAAAUAGAAGCCACUCUGUAUCUUCCAAGUAUGAAGAAUUUUAAGACAGUAGAAUAAGACCACCAGAGAAGCAAAGACUAGCCUGGAGCAUGGAAGGAAAAGAUUCUCAAGAGCUCACCUGGGAGACAGCAAAGCUUAUGAACUCUAAGAUGCUCCUGACACCUGUCUCAGCCUGAAGCACAAUACAGGCAAUUCUCAAAAAGUUCAUCUGGAAGCUGCUUCGAACUCCUUAUUUCUCUGGGCAUCUGCCUAUAACUGCCUCUGGAAAAUACUGGUCUCACCUCUCUUCCCCCUUCCUGAUGUGAGUAUCUCUCAUUGGAUGGUCUCCCCUGGAACUUCACAGAGGAGAGGAUUCUGCAAAAGCAGCCAUUUGGUUUCUCUUCUUCAAAGCAGGGAGACAAUAAAAGGGUUGGCAGAGAUGUUCAAUAACAAGAGAAAUAGUUCAGCACCUAUAUCCUACAAUCACUAAAACCAGUUACAUUUGUGACAUUGAUGACAUUGAAUGUAACAGACACUUCAUUCACUGGGCAGAAAUGCCCUUCCUAUAAAAUCCCAGCAGCUAAAUGAUAAUGCAAGUUCACUAUAGUCCAUACAAUAAGAGUUAUGACUGCAGCUAAGCUGUUUGCAUUACUUUUUUAUGACUGUUAAGUAGGUAGAUGAGUCAUAUCCUUGUGUCCUACACAUAACCCAUUAAAAGCAACAGGCCUCUACAGACCUGGGGAAAAAGCAGGACAGUCUUAAACUCUUAGAUUUAAUUCCUGGCAGAGGUGCUAUAAGUCAAAAUGAUGUAAACUGAAUCAGAUUUUCCAGCAGAAACUAAGCCACUUUCAUUACAAACAGCCUGAAGACUAACUUUUUAUGGAGAAUGACCACAAAUGCCACAAUUAAUUAAAUUCAAAUUGUAUAUAUAUAUAUAUAUAUAUAUAUAUAUAUAUAUAUAUAUAUAUACACACACACACACACACAUACAUAUAUGUGUAUGUGAACUUAAUGUAAGCCUUAAAAAAUGUAUAGACAGCAAAUAGAGUAAUAUGGAAGUCAACCGCUAGAGUAUGAUAAUUAAUUAAACUGUUAACACCUUUUAAUAGUUUUGUUUUAUUUACCACAAUGAAUGAAAUUACAUUUGUUCAGGGAAUCUUGAAGUACAUUCUGAUAGGAAUCUUUAAAUAGAUCUUUGAAGAAACUUAGAAUAUGUAAUGUUAUUUUGAGAAAUAAAUCCAAAGAUGUAUGCUUGUCAGUGUAGAUCUGUUUAAAGCCAACAUAUGGAUAAUUCAACAAAUGAUAAUGCAACAAAUAACUCCAUAUUUGAAUUGUUUUACCUUCUCAACUAUGGUCAUGUAAGAAGUAGUUACUUAUUUACUUAUAUCCUCAUCUUAUGUGAGGCAUGCAUUUUUUAAAAAAUAUAUAUUUUCUUUUAAAAUGCAUAACUUUAAUUUGCACUGAAAUUUCCACUAUUUAUCCCCUGUUACAUUGUUGCAGAGUGUCAAGAUCUCUCAGUUCCUGGCCUGAAAUACUAGCCAGAGUCAGUCACAUACAUUAUUAGGUUGAUCGUGAGUCCAGAAGUAAGCCUUUUUAAUCUAUAGUAGAAGGAAUCCACUAAUGGAGAAAUGUACUGUCUGUUUAAAAAAAAAUGUAAAUGAAAGAGUGAAUAGUUAGAAUACUUGUAAGUUAAAAAGCUGCAUCUUGGGCUGGGGAUGUGGCUCAAGCGGUAGCGCACUCGCCUGGCAUGCGUGUGGCCCGGGUUCGAUCCUCAGCAUCACAUACAAACAAAGAUGUUGUGUCCGCUGAAAACUAAAAAAUAAAUAUUAAAAUUCUCUCUCUCUCUCUCUCUCUCUCUCUCAAAAAAAAAAAAAAAACAAAGCUGCAUCUUUAUCCCAUGAGCAUGCUGGACCAUAGAGGUCUAAAUUCAUAGUCUUCAAAAGUUGUUGCCUUGGUCUCAGCAUUUCCAGAAUUUCCCCUUGCGAAUUACCUUUAGAAUUGGAAUGAUCCAGGUGAUCAGUGUUCAGUUCACAUUUUCACAUUCAGCUUUCAUUUGUCUACUGCAUUUCUGUUCCUUUUCCUCCUCUCCCUUCUCCUCCUCCUCCUCCUUCUUCUCCUCCUGCUUCUCUUCUUUCUCUCCCCCUCCUCUCUUCCAAUUGAUCUGAUGAAAUUCAGAUUUGCCUUCUACUCUGCUGCCUUCAUAUUGGAACCAACCAGGAAGUUCUCUUAGUGUGAAGGGUAAGUAACAAGGAGCAGAACUGGGGGAGCCCAAGAGUCUGCUGGGAAAGGGAAGGGAGGCUUAGGCCAACUCCACGUCCUGUGAUGACAGACUACCGCACUGAGAAACACAGCACUCCUGUUCCCAAAGUCACCCGCUAGAAGUGUUACCAAGUCUCUGAUAACUUGGGAUGAGCAUGUGGAAUAGUUAACCCUUCUUACUCUUAACAUUCUAUGGCUGAGAUGUCUCUCAUCUGCUUGAUGAAGGGACAUAGAAGGCAUAAUUUACUAAACCAUUACAAUGGAAAUAGGUGUCAGGGGUUAAUACAAAUUUAGGUGGAGAAAGAAAAUUUAACAUAUCCAAUCUAAAGCCACUGACAAAGGGGAAGAGUUUAGGCUUGACUGAAUGUGUUGUAGGAAGGUCUCAUGGAAGAAGUAGGAUUUCUAGAACAUAUGAAUGAUGUGAGGAGGAGGGUCAACUUAUCAGUUUCUCAAUGCAAGUGGACAAGCACUUUAUGGCUCUGGGAAAUGCUAGUACUUGUUAUUGAGUUCCUCCCACCUGCCUUUGACUUCUUCCCCGCACCACCUCACCUCUCUCAAGUGACAGAGCUUCUCCCCUGUUGACAUCUGGGAUUCCCUCCAGCAUGGAACCUUUCCUAACCAACUGGCAGGGAGAAAGUGAUUCUUUCUGCUGAAAGCACUGGGACCUAAACCCAGAGCCAGGCUAUUAUACCAAUAUUUCAUCCAAUUCUCUUGAAAGCUGCCUAGGAUUUGUUUCCUGUGAUAGGUAUUUAAUUUAGAUUAUUGACGGAAGUUACAAUUUUUGAAUAUUUCAUCUGGUUUGGUUUUCAACUUUUGUAUUUAACAGGUUGGCCUCAGGUUUAAUCAAGGUUGAUCAUAGCUCAGUUCAUCUUCCCAAGUUACAGUUGUCAAGAUGAUCUCUACAAGAAAAAGGAACACUCUUACAUUGUGGUAGGACUGUAAAUUAGUGUAACCACUAUGGAAAUCAGUAUGGAGGCUUCUCAAAAGACUAGGCAUGGAACCACCAUAUGACCUAGCUAUAACACUUCUUGGCAUUUAUCCUGAAGAAUUAGUCAUCCUAUAACAGUGAUACAUGCAUACCUGUGUCUAUAGCAGCACAAUUCACAAUAGCCAAACUAUGGAACCAACCUAGGUGUCCAUCAAUGGAUGAAUAGAUAAAGAAAAUGUGGUAUAUACACAAUGGAAUUUUACUCAACCAUAAAUAAAAAUGAAAUUAUGUCAUUUUCAGAAAAAUGGAUGAAACUUGAGACCAUCAUGUUAAGUGAAAUAAGUCAAACUCAGAUAGUUAAGGGUCAUAUAUUUCAUAUGUGGAAGCUGGAGGAAAAAGGAAAACAAAGAUAGGGGUUGUCUUCUAAAAUCAAAGGAAGAUCAGUAGAGGAAAGGAAUCCAAGGAAGGAAGGUAGAGAGGAAGGGGGAACGUGCUGGGGAGUGAUAUUGAUCAAAUUAUAUUAUUAUGUUGUAUGCAUGUAUACAUAGGAAACAACAGAUCCCAUCCAUAUGUACAACUAUAAUGCACCAAUUUAAAAAAAGUGGGGGGAAAAAGAGUUGUUCUCCACAAAAUUUCCUGCUAUGAUACUUGGCAAGUUUAAGACUGACCAAGGUCCAAUGGGGACGGGUAGGGGAGCCACACUGCCCAGGACUGUGGUUCAGGCUGUCCUUACUGAUUCCCUGCUUGAACUGUUCUCCUUCUGUUCUUCAUUUUCCUCUUCCUAAGAGAGGAAGUGUACACCUGUAUGUGUUGGAUGGCAGGGGGCGGGAGUGGGAGUGGGGUGUCUUCCUACCUAGAUUUAGCUGUGCCUCUGAGAUCCUUCAGGAAGGGAUGGAGGGACCAAAUCACAUUUCCUACCCUGGAUGCUGAGAUUCCUUGCUUGCAGAUGGAAAAGAGGCCAAGGUGAAAGUUCCUAGGUCAUAAAUGGAGAACAGGAAGCCAGGGAGGCACAAAAGAACACACUGCACUCUUGGAUUAUAAUAAAUAGAUGGAAGAAAUGAAAUAACCUGAAUAGGCCCCAUUCCCCAAUGGAUAGCGAGUGCUGAAGAGAGACAUUACUCAUCCAGGCUCAUUUCUUUAUUUUAUAGGGAAUUAUAAUCUAGAGAAAAGUAAUAACUUGCUCUCAUAUAUUACAGGAACUUUCACACUUUAGAUUCAAUAUUAUCCUUUGUGCUUCAACUAGAAAUAAAGUUAAGUUAAUUCUCAAACAAUGGCAUUCAUUCCAAAAUCCAAAACCAAGAAGAACUGGCAGGACCCAUGUUACCUGCCCCACACCCAUCUGUAUCAACCCCACAUCCAAAGUCUCAACAAAUUAAGUAAGCAAAUAAAUAAAAGGUAAAUUUCAGUAAUAAAUAAAUAAAUAAAAGGCAUAUAUUUUAAAUUCCCAGACUGAUGAGGUCACAGAACACUCUAGAAGAAAGAAACUAGGCCAAAGAAAAUUCUAUAAAAUACAACUGCUCGCUUGGCACCAAGGUGCACUCCUGUAGUCCCAACUGCUCAGGAUGCUGAGGAAGGAGGAUCAAAAGUUCAAGGCUGACCUGUGCAACUUAGUGAAACCCUGUCUCAAAAUUUAAAUACUUUUUAAAAGGUCUGGGGAAAGAGCUCAGUGGUAAAGCAACCCCCAGAUGGGUCCCCAGUAAUGGAAGAAAAUAAAAUACAACUCGAAUAAUUGACUUAUUUAAGAAAAAAAUAAAUUCUGAAUUUCAUGUCUAUAAAAGCCAGAUAGGUAUCUCAUUGAUGUAAAUGAAAUAUGAAUUUUUCUUUCAUUAAUUGUGCUCAUGUGUUUGUUCCAUUUCUAGUUAGCUGGUCACCUGGAUCAUGGAAGCCUACCUUUAAGACAAAUUCCCCAGCUUCUCUGCUAAUACUGGUGCUCCAAAGAGCCUCUUCUGUAGAAACCCUAGAGGCACCACUAUAAGGAAAACAUGUGGCUCACUCCAGAGUUCUAGGGGCUUCUCACUAGCAGGCACUCUGGACAAAGAUUGUAAAAACUCAGUCAUCAGUGUCACCAAGGCCAGGCUGUGGAAAUUGGAGUUGUCUCUCCCUCCUCAUCCCAUGAAACAGCAUAGCCCUCCUGCUGAUGAAGCCCCUCUGAAGCCAGGGACAGAGAGCAGGAGCUAUGAUGAAAUUCCCCUGAGGGAACUCAAGAGUCUUGCCUGGGAGAAGACAGAGACUGACUUGACACUCCAUUUGACUCACCUCUUGGGAUGUGCACAGAAGUACUUUCUCUCCGCCUUACUUUGUAGGAGGGCAGGCUGCCCACUGGAAAUUCACUCUGGGGAGAGCUGCAAAGCUAACCCUUAUCAUUUAUAAGCACUGUAAAACCUUGGCCAUUCACUAGUGAUUUACAAUGUUUGAUUUCUCCCUGGGACAGAGGAGUACACUGUAAAUCAAGUCCGUCUUGGUUUGUCAACCCCAUGUCAGUGUUUGCUGAGUCCUCAAGUCAAAGGCAAGUCGGAACAGUGUGGAGACUUUGGCAAAGGACUAGUUCCCCCCUCUCUAGCUUCCCAUUUUGAUGAAACAAUUCUAGGGUGAGGUUGGCCCUAGGAAUUAUUUCUCUGACUCAUAUUCCCUUUGCUCUUUUCACACACUCAGAAUGCAACAACUCCGAGUACCUCAUAGCCCUGGGCAGAGAGAGGCCAGGGUUGGGGCAAAGCCCUACUGGGGCCCACUCCCAAGGCUGAGAAGACAAACAGGGAGGUGUCUCUCCCAAGCUGAUUUCUUUCAUCACCCCAAGCUAUUUGGGGACACCAUUGCCACAUACCUCAUGAAGAGGCCUCAAACUGGUUUUGUCUCUCAAAGGUGGGAACAGGCCUACUUAAGAUCCACAUACAAAGCUGACAGAGAGUUAAGCUAAGCAAAGAUGGAAACAGUUGGUUUGUUAUCUUCCCUGCUUGUUGGGAAGAGGAAUAAGGGGAAUACUGCAUCUUCAGAGACUCGGGUAAACGUGAGAGACACCGACUCUAAUCCAGAAAAGCAGCUGGACUGUUUGAAGACAUCUCAUUCCUUGCUUCAUUUUUGAUAAUCUGAUUCAGCAGACAUUUACUCUUGUUGGCAUUGAGGUUGCAAAGAAGGGAAGACAUAGGACCCACCUUCAAAAAACAUAGAACUUAAGAGGCAAAUAAACAAACAAAUUUGAUAUAAUUCAUGAGUGCUAAAGAGAGUCAGAUGUAGAGAGCUGUUUUUCCUUUUCCAGAAUACAGGUGGUAAAACACACACACAUACACACACACACACACACAUGCUCCAGAGCAUCUGUAACAUUAGGUUUCUCCUUUCAUGACUGGGAGCUCGGGAAUCUUUCAGGUGGAGCAAGAAGCUCAACCAGCACUCAUUCAUUGCACAAAGGCUACCUGAGCUCUGCCACUUUCUUUUUUUUUUAAUUUUUUAUUGUUGGCUGUUCAAAACAUUACAUAGUUCUUGAUAUAUCAUAUUUCACACUUUGAUUCAAGUGGGUUAUGAGCUCCCAUUUUUACCCCAUAUACAGAUUGCAGAAUCACAUCAGUUACACAUCCAUUGAUUUACAUAUUGCCAUACUAGUG
Molecule: long non-coding RNA, 6782 nt
Filed under: Marmota monax (woodchuck)
Lineage: Eukaryota; Metazoa; Chordata; Mammalia; Rodentia; Sciuridae
Source: RNAcentral